Leopardus geoffroyi (Geoffroy's cat) is the source of this 346-nucleotide long non-coding RNA. RefSeq lists it as uncharacterized. Lineage: Eukaryota; Metazoa; Chordata; Mammalia; Carnivora; Felidae. The transcript has 2 exons. The record is from RefSeq and is a predicted model, not a curated record.
ACAGAAAGGACUACUAGUUGCCUACGUUCUUCCUUAAUAACAAAAUCCUGAUUUCACUUAGGUGGCAACGAGCCAGUGUCCAUGAGCUGGAAGAUGACAGUGUGCGGCCUUCCCUGCAAGUAGAUGUAUCCAUCCUGCAAGGUGAAUGUGACGGUUGGAGUUCCAGAAUCUAUUGUAGACCACGUAGGUGGUGGAGAAGAAAGGAAGAUCCUAGGCCCCUUGUGCCCAUGAAGCCACCAAAUCAGUCUGGACUGCAUAUCCCUGAAUUUCUUUUAUAUGAGAGAAUAACCCCGUAUAUUGAAGCUAUUGUAGUCAAGCCUGAACUGAUAAAAUGGGUGAACUCUCA